GCCUGACCCAUGCGCCCCCCGACCUCGGCCGGGCCCUCCAGUCCGACGUGCGCCUUGAUUCUGGGUCUUGUUAAAUACUCAUUAGGACCUUGCGCCUUUCUCCAGCAGGCCCGCUCGGCGACAGCGAGGCGGGAGUCAAACACUCCCUGGCGGCCGGCCGAGACCCGCGCCGGGGAGCGCCCAGCUGUAACGUGGACGCCCAUGGGCGCCAGGCCAGGGCCCUCUCCUGCCUCGCCAAGUCCGGGUCCACGUGGGGACGCCCCUAGUGCCUCCCGGCCGAGAGUGAGGACCAGGGAGCGCCCUGAGAGCACACGACUGCGUGGCCCCCGCAGCGAGAUGGGCGCGCCUUGGCGGAAGGAGCCGCGUUGAGCCUGCCGAGGGAGAAGGCACGGAGAGACUCCAGGAAAACCCGGGGAGGAAAAGGCCAGGAGCGAGGGAGGCGGGCGGUCAGAUGCUCAGGGCAGUGCCCUCAUGGCGGACAAUGCAAAGCGAGUGCCCCGGACGGAGGGCGGGCUUGGCUUCCCGGAACGCGGCCUGGGGGCGAAGUGCGGGGCCGCCCAGAGCUUUCCUAACCGGCCUGAGUUUCCCAAGAUCGAGGGGUCGAGAAAUAGACCGCAGUGACCCGGCGUGGAGUGCAGCGAUGUGGCCAUCCGUUUCCCCGGGGUCGGAGGAAGUGAAUUACAUGCGUGUGCACACACGUAAAUAUUUUAUAAACCUCCCUUAAUUAACCAGAUCAUUUCCAUUAUGCCUCCAAUAUGAUCAACAGCAACGUUGUGAGGGUUUUCAGGGUUUAUAAUUUGAUGUCACUAGACGGUUGCUCGGGGGCAGAGGUACAAUCGCCGCGCCAGCUGCACUUGUACUUAUUUGUUUUUCUACCGUGUUCCUGUAGGGUUCCAUUAUGCAAUUUUUAAUUAGUUUGUGUUUGUAUUUCACCCGUCCCAAAUCAACCCCAUCCCGGAGCAAGGCGAUGUAAAUUCUCGCAGUACAGGUGUCGCUGCCUGCUCCGGAACACUGGGAAACUCGUGUCUGACAAAUGAAAGCCGGGCGCCACGCAGCUGACUGUCAGCUCUCCGCAGCCGAGAGGCGCAGAUCAAAGCCAGCGGGGACUCCUGCGCCCCCUGAGCGCUGUCGGGGCGGAGGCUCCUAAUGCCAUUAGAGGGAGCCGGCCGAGCGCGGCGCGGGGGGACAAAUAACAGGUCUUUUUUUGCUAGUGUGAGAUGACAGCUGUCUAUUAGAGGACUCAUUUUAUGAUUUGUAUUUGCAAUGAAGUGGCACAUCCUUCAGGAACACUCCAGCCCAGCCCCUCCGGGGCCCUGAGGCAUCCACACCAGCAGCAGGACGACUUUCCCAGGCCAUCAGCAGGCCCAGAGGACGUCUUCCUCCAAGGAGGCAGGUGUGUUGCUCCCGCUCCACGCAAUAGAUGCACCAUGGCACCCUCGACGUCGUUUAUCGCAGGAAAGUUUCACAGGUGUCAGUUAAGCCCCAUUUCCCUGGUUUCACAGAAGAGAAAAGCUGCAGUGGUCAUGUCUAUGAGGCAGAUGUGCCUGGGCCCCAAGGUGGAGGUUUAGUAUAUGUGCAUUCGGCUUUGGCCACAGGAGAAUUACCAUAAAAAUGGAAAAUUUGAGUCUGAUCUUGUCUUUCAUCAGCGACUGCGCCACACGGCCAGCAAAAGCAUCAUCACCACGGCAGUGAGGGAGUAGGAAAGCACCCAUGGUCAUUGUGCAAGCUGAAGACAGGGUGACAUUAUCUCUAAUGCUGAGUUAAGCGGUUUGUCUAAGGUCACUUAGCAAGUGUGUAGUAAAUCCAGGAUUAGAACCUUGGCACCUAGUCGGCAGUCUGUAUGCUGGGCUGGGGACAGACAGACUUGCUGAUCUCGUGACGUAACCUCCUUCUCACCCUCUCCUCCUUAACCCUGUGCAGCCUCUGCCCUGAGCCCCUGUGUCCAGCUCAUCCUGUUACAGGGCUGGCACCUCCUGCCUGACCUGCAGCUGUUAGGAGCUCCCCAGUCCUGCCCCGCCUCCCUCCUGCCUUUUCUUUUUUCCUCUCUUUUCACUUAUUCUCUAAGCAAACAUUUGUGGAGGACCAUUGUAAGAAAUGGGCAAUGUCUUGUGCCAUGGGGGAAGCUAAGAUAAAUUUGAAAGGUGUCUACAUAAAUAUCUAAGAUCUAAGUGUCUAAGGUAAAUUAGACAGUUAGGUGAAACGUACACAAACACCUGAUUAUUCUGCAGUACAGACAGGGACAUGCCCGAGAUUCAGCUGUUCUUUCUCAGCUUCGAAUCCCCCCUCCUUCCUCGGGCUGUGUGAGGCUUUGCCCUGCAAACCCCGAGUCUGCAUUGCCACUUCUGUUCCUUAGACUCCACCAAAAGUGGGUACCAGGGGGAGCCUGCCAGGCGGGAGGAGGGAGGUGGCCCUGCCCACCCUGUCGGGAUCGCUCCCUGUGACUCAUGAUCUGCCCAGCGCACACUUCACCCGGUGCCUCCCAGGAUGCCUCUGAGGUGCCUUCUGAUUCUCUUUUUGCCUUUUCAGUUAACUAGUUGAAAAUUCUUUAAACUGUACUUAUUUGCUAGGGCGACUGUUACAGAGCACCCAGAAAUUUAUUGUCUCACAGUUCUGGAGGAUGGAAGUCCAAGAUCGAGGUGUCCAGGUGUUAGCAGGGCCAGUUCCCACUGAGGCUAUGAAGAGAGUCAGCUCUGUGCCUCUCUUCUACCUUCCAGAGGUUUCUGGCCAUUUUUGGCUUUCUUUGUCUUAUACGCGCAUCACCUUCAUCUCUGCCUUCACCUUCCUGCGGUGUUCUCUCAGUGCGUGUUUCUGUGUCCACGUUUCCCCUUUUUUACAAGGACGCUAGCCAUAUUGGAUUGGCAUCUACCUACUCUAGUAGGACCUCAUCUUAAUAAGCAUACGAAUCUUGUGGGGGACACAAUUCAAUCCAUAACAAUAUCUUAUUAAGACUUCUGCAUAUUAAUUUUUAUCUGUUCACAUAACUGUGUAGUUUCUACCCUCACACUUGACCUGGACUGAUACCAGGGACCCCGCCUUUAGGAACCAAAGGAGGAAGCCAUUCCUUCUAUCAAUGAGGAAAGGGUGACCUGUCACUGGGACCAGGCUUGGAAAGAUGACUUGAGUUGGGGUAGAUAGAGAACAUGAGCAAAGGGCGCUCUGAAAUCAACCGUGAGCACGCUGGCGAGCAUUCAUGAGGGACACAGUGGGAUGCUGGGGCUCAAUCAGAGUGGAUUUCAGUAGCAGGAGAUGAGUUUGGGCUUUAUUCUCUGGGCAAUGAGGAGAUAUGUAGGCAUGUGAGGAGGAGCAGACAAGACGAGAUGUGUCUAUAGACUGUCAAAAACUGAUUGAGGUCAGAGCUGUGGGACCAGAAUCAUCUCAACAAAGGUGACUUUGAGGGUGUGCUCAAGUCCUGGUGUGGUGGGAGUGAUGAGCCUCUGCACGCCGGGACUUCUCCUGGCACUUGAGUGAUUCUGUGGGUAGAUGAGGAGGAUUGUCAGCCUCCUGCCACCUUCCUGUUCCUUGGGGUCCUGCUCGGGAGCACCAGGAGCAUAAGGGUAGCCCAACUCGGGAGGACCCUGGGGCCCUUCUCCUUGUCCUUUAGGCAGAAUAGUUCAACUUCCCUCAUUUUACAUCUUGAAUUUCCAGACAAGGUUUUGUUUCAACAAAGGGUUUUGUGCCUAAAUAUGAACUUGAAGCAUCAUUGACGUCCGUGAUUGUCAGGAUUCUGCUUCUGUCAUCUUCAAGUGAUUUGAUGAUGCGUAAACCUCCAAUCGUUUGUGAAAUGGGGCAUAUUAACACAUCCCCUUUCUCUGGUCAGAUGAGAUGGGUUUUUAUACAUGUCCAGAAUAUACAGUCAUAUCUCUUAUGACAGAAAAUUUCAGUAUUUGGUUGAUUCUUUAUGAGGUGUAAAAUGUUAAACAGAAAUCUGGAAUGACAGAAAUGUAGGGAAGAAUAAUGCUAUCAAAUAAAAGCAAUUAAUAUUAUUAAUAUGGAUAAAAUAAUUUACUUGCAAGGCUUCCCUUGG
Equus caballus (horse) is the source of this 4024-nucleotide long non-coding RNA. The record is from Ensembl. NCBI's taxonomy places the organism in Eukaryota, Metazoa, Chordata, Mammalia, Perissodactyla, Equidae.